This 108-nucleotide non-coding RNA is filed under the name unclassified sequences. Its description in RNAcentral is "c-di-GMP sequence". It matches the Rfam family "c-di-GMP-II-GAG riboswitch aptamer". The record is from Rfam by way of RNAcentral.
CGUACGUGAGGACGCGAGGAUCCUCGGACCGGGAGACCGGUCGCCGCGGGGCGGAGCACCGCCCCGACGGUCCGAGGGGAGCGAGCGGCGAGACCGACCUCAGAACCG